CUUGCUUUGAACCAUGGGAGAGUAGCAAAUGUAACAGAAAUAGAGACUUUGCUCUUUGGGACUUGCCUCUCUUGCUGCUCUUGGGAAUCCUAUAUCCACCACAACGUAAAUGAACCUGGACAAGCCCGGCAGGAUGGUCAUAUUCGUCCCUCACUUACCUAGUUGCUUCAGUUGACAGCCAGCCAGUCUCCACACAUAUGAGAGAGUUGAGAAUCAGGAAGAGAAGAUGACAUACCCAAGGUCACUCAUUUGGGUGAAAGGUAACUCAGAAGCCAAAGGACACUAAAAUAUUCUGAUGGAACCUAUCAUCACAAUGAAUGGCAAGCUGGUACAGUUAAGAAGCG
Molecule: long non-coding RNA, 344 nt
Filed under: Equus caballus (horse)
Lineage: Eukaryota; Metazoa; Chordata; Mammalia; Perissodactyla; Equidae
Description: lncRNA (ENSECAG00000056926.1)
Source: RNAcentral